GAUGAACGCUGGCGGCGUGCCUAAUACAUGCAAGUCGAGCGAACGGACGAGAAGCUUGCUUUUCUGAUGUUAGCGGCGGACGGGUGAGUAACACGUGGAUAACCCACCUAUAAGACUGGGAUAACUUCGGGAAACCGGAGCUAAUACCGGAUAAUAUUUUGAACCGCAUGGUUCAUAAGUGAAAGACGGUCUUGCUGUCACUUAUAGAUGGAUCCGCGCUGCAUUAGCUAGUUGGUAAGGUAACGGCUUACCAAGGCAACGAUGCAUAGCCGACCUGAGAGGGUGAUCGGCCACACUGGAACUGAGACACGGUCCAGACUCCUACGGGAGGCAGCAGUAGGGAAUCUUCCGCAAUGGGCGAAAGCCUGACGGAGCAACGCCGCGUGAGUGAUGAAGGUCUUCGGAUCGUAAAACUCUGUUAUUAGGGAAGAACAUAUGUGUAAGUAACUGUGCACAUCUUGACGGUACCUAAUCAGAAAGCCACGGCUAACUACGUG
Molecule: ribosomal RNA, 497 nt
Filed under: uncultured bacterium
Lineage: Bacteria
Description: partial 16S ribosomal RNA
Rfam family: Bacterial small subunit ribosomal RNA
Source: RNAcentral